RNAcentral lists this ribosomal RNA (366 nucleotides) under Triticum aestivum (bread wheat). RNAcentral's name for it is "partial small subunit ribosomal RNA". Lineage: Eukaryota; Viridiplantae; Streptophyta; Magnoliopsida; Poales; Poaceae. The record is from RNAcentral.
AUGCAAUGUCAAACUAAUAUAUUGGUGUGUUUUUUCCGGAAACUAGCAAUAUUGUUUUGGAUUAAUAUGUGGUGUCGAACAAUUACAAGUGCUCUUUAUCCUCCUAUUCCCCAACAAUUUGGAGUGUAUGUAUGUAAACUAUAUACACCCGGUUCAGAUUUUUUUUCACUAGAACAUCUUAUAAUUCGAAAAGCAGGGAGUAUGUUGUUCCCUGAAAUCCCCCAGCCAUAUAGGAAAGAAAAAACACCAAAUAUUCGAUUCCUAGACCACUACGACUUCAGGAAGAACAUUGGUGACGGGCAAAUUCGUGACUCCGCCGAGACCACAGCAUCCGAAAUAUUCUCCGGGGCAAGUGGGAUAAAUUGA